CGAAAGCCUGAUGCAGCAACGCCGCGUGCGGGAAGAAGGCCCUAGGGUUGUAAACCGCUUUCAGUAGGGAAGAAAAUGACGGUACCUACAGAAGAAGGUGCGGCCAACUACGUGCCAGCAGCCGCGGUGACACGUAGGCACCAAGCGUUAUCCGGAUUUAUUGGGCGUAAAGAGCUCGUAGGCGGUUUGGUAAGUCGGGUGUGAAAACUCUGGGCUCAACCCAGAGAGGCCACCCGAUACUGCUAUGACUAGAGUACGGUAGGGGAGCGGGGAAUUCAUGGUGUAGCGGUGAAAUGCGCAGAUAUCAUGAGGAACACCAGCGGCGAAGGCGCCGCUCUGGGCCGUAACUGACGCUGAGGAGCGAAAGCAUGGGUAGCAAACAGGAUUAGAUACCCUGGUAGUCCAUGCCGUAAACGUUGGGCACUAGGUGUGGGUCUCAACCAACGAGAUCCGCGCCGUCGCUAACGCAUUAAGUGCCCCGCCUGGGGAGUACGGUCGCAAGACUA
RNAcentral lists this ribosomal RNA (506 nucleotides) under uncultured Actinomycetes bacterium. RNAcentral describes it as "bacterial SSU rRNA". It matches the Rfam family "Bacterial small subunit ribosomal RNA", at positions 376 to 896 of the family's 1533-position model. Lineage: Bacteria; Bacillati; Actinomycetota; Actinomycetes. The record is from RNAcentral.